CCAGUGUGCUACGACUUGCUCAAGGGAAAUCUCGAUCAACGCUGCACAAAGAGGCUAGAGAGGAAUCUCUCAGUGAAGACCCUCAUGGAAUUGUUUUAAAAGCAGCACUUCUCAUGUUACCAUCCUUGUUCAGAGAGAAGCUCGAACACUGCAUUGUACUUGGGAAGAGCAAACCAUCUUCACCAAGUAUAGGAAGCCAGUGACUGGAGAACGUACUGUGGAUGGUGACAACCCUCUACCUACCACAGUUAAGAGUAAUCAACCUCCUACAUUAACACCUGCAAAAAUGCCCUGCCUUUUCUGUUUCACUAAAUGCUCUUGGAGAAUAUUCAUGAUUGUCCAGUGAAUGCAGCACAUUGGUCCUAUUCAUGCUUAUGAGGCAAAUUUUUCAAUAACGUGGUCUGAAUGACUGCAGAGAACAUUUUCAAAUUAUGAAACCUUUAGAUGUCA
Molecule: long non-coding RNA, 450 nt
Organism: Sinocyclocheilus rhinocerous
Lineage: Eukaryota; Metazoa; Chordata; Actinopteri; Cypriniformes; Cyprinidae
Exons: 3
Source: RefSeq, a predicted model, not a curated record